UACGGAGGGUGCAAGCGUUGUUCGGAAUUAUUGGGCGUAAAGCGCACGUAGGCGGCCGUUUAAGUCUCACUGUGAAAGCCUGCGGCUCAACCGCAGGAGGCCAGGGGAUACUGGACGGCUGGAGACAGGUAGAGGCGAGCGGAAUUCCGGGUGUAGCGGUGGAAUGCGUAGAGAUCCGGAAGAACACCAGAGGCGAAGGCGGCUCGCUGGACCUGUUCUGACGCUGAGGUGCGAAAGCGUGGGGAGCGAACAGG
Molecule: ribosomal RNA, 254 nt
Filed under: uncultured prokaryote
Description: partial 16S ribosomal RNA
Rfam family: Bacterial small subunit ribosomal RNA
Source: RNAcentral